AAGCGCGCGUAGGCGGAUCAGAAAGUUGGGGGUGGAAAUCCCAGGGCUCAACCCUGGAACUGCCUCCAAAACUCCUGGUCUUGAGUUCGAGAGAGGUGAGUGGAAUUCCGAGUGUAGAGGUGAAAUUCGUAGAUAUUCGGAGGAACACCAGUGGCGAAGGCGGCUCACUGGCUCGAUACUGACGCUGAGGUGCGAAAGCGUGGGGAGCAAACAGGAUUAGAUACCCCGGU
RNAcentral lists this ribosomal RNA (230 nucleotides) under uncultured bacterium. Its description in RNAcentral is "partial 16S ribosomal RNA". It matches the Rfam family "Bacterial small subunit ribosomal RNA", at positions 563 to 791 of the family's 1533-position model. The record is from RNAcentral.